AGUGAACGCUGGCGGCAGGCCUAACACAUGCAAGCCGAACGGCAGCACAGAAGAGCUUGCUCUUUGGGUGGCGAGUGGCGGACGGGUGAGUAAUGUCUGGGAAACUGCCCGAUGGAGGGGGAUAACUACUGGAAACGGUAGCUAAUACCGCAUAACGUCGCAAGACCAAAGUGGGGGACCUUCGGGCCUCACACCAUCGGAUGUGCCCAGAUGGGAUUAGCUAGUAGGUGGGGUAAUGGCUCACCUAGGCGACGAUCCCUAGCUGGUCUGAGAGGAUGACCAGCCACACUGGAACUGAGACACGGCCCAGACUCCUACGGGAGGCAGCAGUGGGGAAUAUUGCACAAUGGGCGCAAGCCUGAUGCAGCCAUGCCGCGUGUAUGAAGAAGGCCUUCGGGUUGUAAAGUACUUUCAGCGGGGAGGAAGGCGGUGAGGUUAAUAACCUUGCCGAUUGACGUUACCCGCAGAAGAAGCACCGGCUAACUCCGUGCCAGCAGCCGCGGUAA
This 506-nucleotide ribosomal RNA is filed under the name uncultured bacterium. RNAcentral describes it as "partial 16S ribosomal RNA". It matches the Rfam family "Bacterial small subunit ribosomal RNA", at positions 29 to 523 of the family's 1533-position model. The record is from RNAcentral.